GACACGGGGUGCCGCGUAUGCGGCUGAGAGAUACCCGUAUUACCUGAUCUGGGUCAUGCCAGCGUAGGGAUGUCGA
This 76-nucleotide non-coding RNA is filed under the name fish gut metagenome. Its description in RNAcentral is "TPP riboswitch (THI element)". It matches the Rfam family "TPP riboswitch aptamer (THI element)", at positions 7 to 92 of the family's 105-position model. From Rfam's summary of the family: Vitamin B(1) in its active form thiamin pyrophosphate (TPP) is an essential coenzyme that is synthesised by coupling of pyrimidine and thiazole moieties in bacteria. The previously detected thiamin-regulatory element, thi box was extended, resulting in a new, highly conserved RNA secondary structure, the THI element, which is widely distributed in eubacteria and also occurs in some archaea. The record is from RNAcentral.